GAUGAACGCUGGCGGCGUGCCUAAUACAUGCAAGUCGAGCGAACCACUUCGGUGGUGAGCGGCGAACGGGUGAGUAACACGUAGGUGAUCUGCCCAUCAGACGGGGACAACGAUUGGAAACGAUCGCUAAUACCGGAUAGGACGAAAGUUUAAAGGUGCUUCUGGCACCGCUGAUGGAUGAGCCUGCGGCGCAUUAGCUAGUUGGUAGGGUAAAGGCCUACCAAGGCAACGAUGCGUAGCCGACCUGAGAGGGUGAACGGCCACACUGGGACUGAGACACGGCCAAGACUCCUACGGGAGGCAGCAGGAGGGAAUCUUCGGCAAUGGGCGAAAGCCUGACCGAGCAACGCCGCGUGAAUGAUGAAGGCCUUCGGGUUGUAAAAUUCUGUUAUAAGGGAAGAACGACUUUAGCAGGAAAUGGCUAGAGUGUGACGGUACCUUAUGAGAAAGCCACGGCUAACUACGUGCCAGCAGCCGCGGUAA
Molecule: ribosomal RNA, 483 nt
Filed under: uncultured bacterium
Lineage: Bacteria
Description: partial 16S ribosomal RNA
Rfam family: Bacterial small subunit ribosomal RNA
Source: RNAcentral